RNAcentral lists this long non-coding RNA (956 nucleotides) under Dromaius novaehollandiae (emu). RNAcentral's name for it is "lncRNA (ENSDNVG00000011118.1)". Lineage: Eukaryota; Metazoa; Chordata; Aves; Casuariiformes; Dromaiidae. The record is from RNAcentral.
AUGCAUUUAAUAAAUGAGCUGAAGGACCAAAGAAUGUCAUGUUUUGAAGACUUAGCUACAGACAAUCCAGGACGCUGUUUGGCAGUGCCUGCAUCCCAGGAGAAGAGUGCCAGAGGGACAAACCAGCCGCUAGUAGUACCUGGUGAUCAAAGAGGUGCUGACAGCAUUCAUUCGAACUCACAAAUUAAGGACUUACUUGCUGGAAGAGUAUGGAGCCUUGUACGCACCGUUGGGCUUUUUGUGACUCCUGUAUACCUUUGUAUCUAUAUUGUGCCUCUCUUUUCCUCUGCCAACAAUGCCUCGUUUCCAAACAUCCCUCUGAAGUAUGGAAGCCGGUAUUAGUUUCUUGUGCUUCUCUCUCUUUGGGAAUAAUGCAUUCCUACUCAUUGGUUGCUGCUGCUUCUGUGCCUUUAUUUUUCAGUACCUAGUCACUGGCAGGUGGGUAUGAGUUUGCAUGUUCCUAAAAAAUCAUUGAUUUCCCAGCUGAUUGUAGAGCCUGCUCAGAUGAGCCUACGCUGCAGGAAGGAGCUAUGAGCUUUGGCACCAAGGUCCUGUGUCAUGGAGAUCUUGACUGUCACGCGACAAGGAUGCGGUGAAGUGCCCCAAAUUCUGGUGGGAGCGUCAGAGGGGAAACUCCACGUGGAAACGCUGUCGAGAAAGCAGAGUUGCACAGGCGGCUUCCCUGAACCCUGACAGAACAGCAGAUGCACCGAGGACAAAGCCGCUCCUGAAUGGUCACAGUCAGGGUAUUCGUAAGAAGCAAUUGUUUGGGAUUUUCACAGACACAAAAACUAGGGAGCAGCUGUCUCCAAGACCAGAUUCAACUCAAAAACAGCUAGAUCUUUGAAAGAAACCAGCCCUUAAGCCUCGGGUCCUAAAGGCUUAGGAUCAGUUGGAGGUAGAUUAAUUGAAAUUACUGAAAAAAGACAAAAUAAAGAAUACAGCAGAUCUGCCCA